AGAUUGAACGCUGGCGGCAGGCCUAACACAUGCAAGUCGAGCGGUAGAGAGGUGCUUGCAUCUCUUGAGAGCGGCGGACGGGUGAGUAAUGCCUAGGAAUCUGCCUAGUGGUGGGGGAUAACGCUCGGAAACGGACGCUAAUACCGCAUACGUCCUACGGGAGAAAGCAGGGGACCUUCGGGCCUUGCGCUAUCAGAUGAGCCUAGGUCGGAUUAGCUAGUUGGUGGGUAAUGGCUCACCAAGGCGACGAUCCGUAACUGGUCUGAGAGGAUGAUCAGUCACACUGGAACUGAGACACGGUCCAGACCUCCUACGGGAGGCAGCAGGUGGGGAAUAGUUGGAACAAGUGGGGACGAAAG
Molecule: ribosomal RNA, 359 nt
Filed under: uncultured soil bacterium
Lineage: Bacteria
Description: bacterial SSU rRNA
Rfam family: Bacterial small subunit ribosomal RNA
Source: RNAcentral